UUCCAUUUCCUGGGAAUCACACCAGGGGAUGAUACCAAAUUUUUGUUUCCUAGAGGCCUCUGAAGAGGAGCUACCAUCAGUCUCCACCAUAGCUAAAUUAGGAUUCUCCCUCCCCUUGAUAUACUGACUCAGAAUUAUCACCAAGUCAGUCUAGGAGAUCAAUUUUUCCCAAGUAAUAUACAUUUAACACAGUUAUAUAACGACAGUUUCACUUCUCCCAUACUGUUAUAACAGAAAGAAAGGCACUAUUAACAAUACCACUCUUUGGUCUUUUCUAGGAAGGAAUUGUUCAAAUCAUCCUAGAGAAAAGGAAGUCUGGGAAUUGAUGGGGACCUGACCUAAUUUUUCAGAACAAUAUGGAGUCCAUUAAUGGGAUUAAAGAUUUUAAGGCCUAAGCAACUAUUUUGGGAAGAAAUAAUGAAAGGCAGAACUAUGUCUGAAAGCAGUUCAUUCUGAUCAGAUACAUCUUCCUGGAGAUUGGAUUCAAAAGAUAUCACUAAACCAGAGAGUAAUUUUUCUUCCUAGGGUGACAUUGAUUCAUCACAGACAUGACUGUUGUGAGGAUGUAUCCUUGACCUGGGCAGUCAGGUUCAUAACAUAUGCUGACUAGAAGGAUAAAAUCUCUUUUUCUGAGGUGCCAACAUGCUCCACAAACAACCCCAUGUAAUGCAUGGCAGGGACAAAAUUUCUCCACUGGUCCUGACCCAAAGCACACCAGGAGAGAAGCCACCUCCAGUUUUGGAGAGAAAGCUCUUCUCCCAGGUAGACUUCAAGAUUCCAGAGGCAGCCCCAACUGUGUGGGACAAAGACCACUGACUCAAAUAAUCAAGGAGAUUUAUUAAGGUGAAUGUAGAAAGGAAUUUUAUUACCAUUUCAUGAGAAAGGACAUCUUCUUCCCAACAAGCAGUCAGGCAAAGGAGAGGAGGGUUACAGAAGGAGAAGACCAAAUUUUACAGUUCUUAACUUGGAGAUUCCCCACCCACCAAUCCCAGUUACCUGGAGGCAGACUCACAAUCUAGACUAUCCCAGACACAAAGAAUAAAGAAACAGAAAUUAAUCAAUUCAAAAUCAUAAAAGCAUUCAUAACUUUAUUUGGUGUAACGCCUGCUGAUGUAGCAAACUCUUACAAUGGUACUCAAGGAGGGAGACUUGGAGUUCCUGUUUCUAAAUCAGUUAAAUUUUGGUAAAUGAAAUUGAGACCUAGCAUUUGAACAAAUUUAUCCUAGUGUCUCUGAGAAGUUUUCACCUAUUAUACUCACUACAAACACAGAAAUGAUUGUAUUACAUAUUUUAACAUACUUAACAUGUAUUGGAUUACUUGCCAUCUAGGGAAGGGGUGGGGGAAAGGAGGGGA
Molecule: long non-coding RNA, 1354 nt
Organism: Sarcophilus harrisii (Tasmanian devil)
Lineage: Eukaryota; Metazoa; Chordata; Mammalia; Dasyuromorphia; Dasyuridae
Exons: 3
Source: RefSeq, a predicted model, not a curated record